GAGGGUAUAGCUCAAACAGUAGAGCAUGUGUUUAGCAUGCAUGAGGUCCUGGGUUCAAUUCCCCGUACCUCCU
This 73-nucleotide transfer RNA is filed under the name Camelus bactrianus (Bactrian camel). It matches the Rfam family "tRNA". From Rfam's summary of the family: Transfer RNA (tRNA) molecules are approximately 80 nucleotides in length. Their secondary structure includes four short double-helical elements and three loops (D, anti-codon, and T loops). Further hydrogen bonds mediate the characteristic L-shaped molecular structure. tRNAs have two regions of fundamental functional importance: the anti-codon, which is responsible for specific mRNA codon recognition, and the 3' end, to which the tRNAs corresponding amino acid is attached (by aminoacyl-tRNA synthetases). tRNAs cope with the degeneracy of the genetic code in two manners: having more than one tRNA (with a specific anti-codon) for a particular amino acid; and 'wobble' base-pairing, i.e. permitting non-standard base-pairing at the 3rd anti-codon position. Lineage: Eukaryota; Metazoa; Chordata; Mammalia; Artiodactyla; Camelidae. RNAcentral also lists the same sequence under 1 other name. The record is from Rfam by way of RNAcentral.